GGGGGGGGGGGGGGGGGGGGCGGGCGCGUGCGGGUCGGGGGAGGCCGGCGGGGCUGGUGGCGCACGGGUGCGUAACGCGUGGGAACCUGCCCUUAGGUUCGGAAUAACUCCCCGAAAGGGGUGCUAAUACCGGAUAAUGUCGUCGGACCAAAGAUUUAUCGCCUUUGGAUGGGCCCGCGUUGGAUUAGCUAGUUGGUAGGGUAAAAGCCUACCAAGGCGACGAUCCAUAGCUGGUCUGAGAGGAUGAUCAGCCACACUGGGACUGAGACACGGCCCAGACUCCUACGGGAGGCAGCAGUGGGGAAUAUUGGACAAUGGGCGAAAGCCUGAUCCAGCAAUGCCGCGUGAGUGAUGAAGGCCUUAGGGUUGUAAAGCUCUUUUACCCGGGAUGAUAAUGACAGUACCGGGAGAAUAAGCGCCGGCUAACUCCGUG
RNAcentral lists this ribosomal RNA (433 nucleotides) under uncultured bacterium. Its description in RNAcentral is "partial 16S ribosomal RNA". It matches the Rfam family "Bacterial small subunit ribosomal RNA", at positions 38 to 507 of the family's 1533-position model. The record is from RNAcentral.